RNAcentral lists this ribosomal RNA (429 nucleotides) under Gemmatimonadota bacterium. RNAcentral's name for it is "Gemmatimonadetes bacterium partial 16S ribosomal RNA". It matches the Rfam family "Bacterial small subunit ribosomal RNA", at positions 355 to 776 of the family's 1533-position model. The record is from RNAcentral. Lineage: Bacteria; Pseudomonadati; Gemmatimonadota.
UAGGGAAUCUUCGGCAAUGGACGAAAGUCUGACCGAGCAACGCCGCGUGAGUGAAGAAGGUGUUCGGAUCGUAAAACUCUGUUGUUAGAGAAGAACAAGGACGUUAGUAACUGAACGUCCCCUGACGGUAUCUAACCAGAAAGCCACGGCUAACUACGUGCCAGCAGCCGCGGUAAUACGUAGGUGGCAAGCGUUGUCCGGAUUUAUUGGGCGUAAAGCGAGCGCAGGCGGUUUCUUAAGUCUGAUGUGAAAGCCCCCGGCUCAACCGGGGAGGGUCAUUGGAAACUGGGAGACUUGAGUGCAGAAGAGGAGAGUGGAAUUCCAUGUGUAGCGGUGAAAUGCGUAGGUAUAUGGAGGAACACCAGUGGCGAAGGCGGCUCUCUGGUCUGUAACUGACGCUGAGGCUCGAAAGCGUGGGGAGCAAACAGG